RNAcentral lists this long non-coding RNA (1425 nucleotides) under Anolis carolinensis (green anole). RNAcentral's name for it is "lncRNA (ENSACAG00000036723.1)". Lineage: Eukaryota; Metazoa; Chordata; Lepidosauria; Squamata; Anolidae. The record is from RNAcentral.
CUUUGUUCUAUUUCUGUGAAGGAGGUUAUAGCCCUCAAUGGCUACAUUCAAGUGAUGGGAGUCAUUCCACCAGGUUUCAGUGAUGCCUAUGAUAUCGUAUGUGUGGUGCUGUGCUAUAAGUUGGAGUUUGUCUUGCUCAUUUCCCAUGCUCUGUGCAUUAGUGCAAAGACAUGUAAGCCCCUGUGACCUUCCCCCAAGCUGUUUAUUUGGGAUUAUUGUGCUCUCGGUACUUGGUCCUUGCUGUGUUUGUGCAGCCCUCCAUUUAGCCUUUUGGCAAUUCCCUGUGGUCGUGGGUAAUAUAGUGUUUGCCAGGCUGUUGUUCCCCUCCCCCAGUGGAUCCAGUUUAAAGUGUGCCUGAUGAGGUUUGUGAGUCUGUGUGCAAAAAGAUGUUUUCCUACUUGUGUGAGAUGCACCCAGGUCUGGUUAGUACUUGGAUGGGAGCUUGAACAUGGAGAUUGUAGAUGUGUGAGAGUUAACUGAGACACAAACAGCUCUCCGUCUCAUAUCUCCCCUUUGUUCAGCAUUCUAGUAUCUGCUUAGAUGGACGAACAAACAUGCACUCAGCUAUCUGCCGAGUCCUGUGGUAAUUGACUUUUUUUUGCAGUUAUUUACAGCUAUAUACAGAGCACACAGCUGGAGAAACUCACUCUCAUGUCCAGCAGGAUUGAUCGCAACUGGGGAAGAAGCAAUCUGUUAUGAUUGAGCCUCAUGGCUCUGUUACUGACAGACGUGGGCGUAAGACUCCUCGAGAGUCAGAUACUCUCGAGGAGCGAGAGAGAAAAAGACUGCGAGACAUAUUUGCAGCACCAUCUGACGAGGAGUCUUUCGAAGGGUUUACGGAGAGAAUGGAGGAGGGGCUGGUUAGCUCAGAGGAGGAUGAGAUGGAUUGGACUCGGGUAAGGGAGGAAGUGGGUGCCACUGGCCAUGAUGGGACAGGAGAGAAUGGAGGAGGGGCUGGUUAGCUCAGAGGAGGAUGAGAUGGAUUGGACUCGGGUAAGGGAGGAAGUGGGUGCCACUGGCCAUGAUGGGACAGAAGAUGAAUGGGGACCUUCAGGAUUAGACCCAUGGCUUAGUUGGAGGGAUGGGACGGGAUCCACAGCUGGAGACGCUGUUGGGCGUAGUCAGAGGUGUUCCAGCUCUGACGAGGAAAGUGAUGAGGAAACGCCCGGGUUAAGGAGGACAGCUGACAGUGAUGAAGAUUUGUAACUGGCAUAAAAUGGGGCUUGGGAGCAAUUGCAAAUUGCGUUGGGCAAGGUAAUCUGGGCAAACGCUUGGGAUCCGUGUGUGUGUGGGACGCUUCCCUGAAGACUUGUGUGCUUUCCUGUGCUGUGACGUAAGUUGAUUGGAAUCCAGGGUCAGACGGCGGGAGGGAUUGUGUGGGCAUUUGUUUGUGCAAACCUGUGCUUACUCUUAUUAGCUUGACCC